GUCUUUCUGAAAUUUUUAGAAAGUCUAACCUGCCCACUGAUGAUUUUAACGGCCGCAGUAUUCUAACUGUGCAAAGGUAGCAUAAUAAUUAGUCUUUUAAUUUAAGGCUGGAAUGAAUGGUUGGACGAAAUAUAGACUGUUUCAUUUAAAUUUAUUGUAGAAUUUUAUUUUUUAGUGAAAAAGCUAAAAUUUUUUUAAAAGACGAGAAGACCCUAUAAAGCUUUAUAUAAUUUAUUUUUAAAUAGUUUUAGAUAUUUUAUUGGUUGAAUAUAAAUUAUAUUUUAUUGGGGUGAUAUUAAAAUUUAAAAAACUUUUAAUUUUUAUAAACAUUUAUUUAUGAAUAAUUGAUCCGUUACUAACGAUUAUAAAUUUAAGUUACUUUAGGGAUAACAGCGUAAUUUUUUUGGAGAGUUCAUAUCGAUAAAAAAGAUUGCGACCUCGAUGUUGGAUUAAGGAAUAACUUUAG
Molecule: ribosomal RNA, 466 nt
Filed under: Renocera johnsoni
Lineage: Eukaryota; Metazoa; Arthropoda; Insecta; Diptera; Sciomyzidae
Description: partial 16S ribosomal RNA
Rfam family: Bacterial large subunit ribosomal RNA
Source: RNAcentral